AUUGCACCAAUUUGUAAGUCGCUCUGGAUAAGAGCGUCUGCUAAAUGACUUAAA
This is a non-coding RNA of Salmo salar (Atlantic salmon), 54 nucleotides long. The record is from Rfam. NCBI's taxonomy places the organism in Eukaryota, Metazoa, Chordata, Actinopteri, Salmoniformes, Salmonidae.